RNAcentral lists this ribosomal RNA (497 nucleotides) under uncultured bacterium. RNAcentral describes it as "partial 16S ribosomal RNA". It matches the Rfam family "Bacterial small subunit ribosomal RNA", at positions 28 to 507 of the family's 1533-position model. The record is from RNAcentral.
GAUGAACGCUGGCGGCGUGCCUAAUACAUGCAAGUCGAGCGAACGGACGAGAAGCUUGCUUUUCUGAUGUUAGCGGCGGACGGGUGAGUAACACGUGGAUAACCUACCUAUAAGACUGGGAUAACUUCGGGAAACCGGUGCUAAUACCGGAUAAUAUUGUGAACCGCAUGGUUCAAAAGUGAAAGACGGUCUUGCUGUUACCUAUAGACGGAUUCGCGCUGCAUUAGCUAGUUGGUGGGGUAACGGCCUACCAAGGCAACGAUCAGUAGCUGGUCUGAGAGGACGACCAGCCACACUGGGACUGAGACACGGCCCAGACUCCUACGGGAGGCAGCAGUGGGGAAUUUUGGACAAUGGGCGAAAGCCUGAUCCAGCAAUGCCGCGUGUGUGAAGAAGGCCUUCGGGUUGUAAAGCACUUUUGUCCGGAAAGAAAUCCUUGGCCCUAAUACGGUCGGGGGAUGACGGUACCGGAAGAAUAAGCACCGGCUAACUACGUG